UCUGCCCGCUGGCGGCGUGCCUAAUACAUGCAAGUCGAGCGAACAGACGAGGAGCUUGCUCCUCUGACGUUAGCGGCGGACGGGUGAGUAACACGUGGAUAACCUACCUAUAAGACUGGGAUAAAUUCGGGAAACCGGAGCUAAGACCGGAUAAUAUAUUGAACCGCAUGGUUCAAUAGUGAAAGACGGUUUUGCUGUCACUUAUAGAUGGAUCCGCGCCGCAUUAGCUAGUUGGUAAGGUAACGGCUUACCAAGGCAACGAUGCGUAGCCGACCUGAGAGGGUGAUCGGCCACACUGGAACUGAGACACGGUCCAGACUCCUACGGGAGGAAGCAGUAGGGAAUCUUCCGCAAUGGGCGAAAGCCUGACGGAGCAACGCCGCGUGAGUGAUGAAGGUCUUCGGAUCGUAAAACUCUGUUAUUAGGGAAGAACAAAUGUGUAAGUAACUAUGCACGUCUUGACGGUACCUAAUCAGAAAGCCACGGCUAACUACGUG
Molecule: ribosomal RNA, 497 nt
Filed under: uncultured bacterium
Lineage: Bacteria
Description: partial 16S ribosomal RNA
Rfam family: Bacterial small subunit ribosomal RNA
Source: RNAcentral